Molecule: long non-coding RNA, 542 nt
Filed under: Solanum tuberosum (potato)
Lineage: Eukaryota; Viridiplantae; Streptophyta; Magnoliopsida; Solanales; Solanaceae
Description: long non-coding RNA (STUB_LNC008558)
Source: RNAcentral
UAGGAUAAGUUCAUUGACUUAAUGAGGGGAUUGUCCGUUUAGAAUUUAGAUGGCCUGAGAUGAAUAAGAUGUUGAUUGGAUGGAUGACUUAGUUUGAAUAGCAAGUAUCAUACUUUGUAUUCUGCAAUACAAAAAGAUAACUCAGAGUUUUAAUGCAUGCAUUAGUGACACUUGAAAGUGAAACAUGUUUGGCAUUUUCACUUGUAAUCGAUGAAAUAGUUAGUUACGAUAUUGAGUGACUACUGAUUGUGAUUUAUUGUUGUUUUAAUAUAGGUGUUCAAUGUACUCGAUAAAUUGAUCUCUUCUGACUCUCAACUGUUUGCCAAGAUGGAGAAUGUAGUAAGAAUUGUUUGAUGUAUGAUGUAUGAGGUUUUCACCCGACCCUCUCGGCAAAAAAUUACACAAGGUAAUUCUUUACUUUUUAUAUGUACGUUUAGAUUUUGAGUCCCCUGUAUACAAAAUUCACUUUGAUGGAAAUCUUAGAUUCGUCAUUGUUGGCAGAUGUGUGAUUCUGAACAAAACAUUGUGUGCUUGGAUUCUCA